RNAcentral lists this ribosomal RNA (292 nucleotides) under uncultured bacterium. RNAcentral's name for it is "partial 16S ribosomal RNA". It matches the Rfam family "Bacterial small subunit ribosomal RNA", at positions 505 to 796 of the family's 1533-position model. The record is from RNAcentral.
GUGCCAGCCGCCGCGGUAAUACGGGGGGUGCAAGCGUUAUUCGGAAUCAUUGGGCGUAAAGAGCACGUAGGCGGCUUGGUAAGUCAGAUGUGAAAGCCCGGGGCUUAACCCCGGAAGUGCAUUUGGUACUGCCAGGCUUGAGUAUGGGAGAGGGAAGUGGAAUUCCUGGUGUAGAGGUGAAAUUCGUAGAUAUCAGGAGGAACACCGGUGGCGAAGGCGACUUCCUGGACCAAUACUGACGCUGAGGUGCGAAGGCGGGGGUAGCAAACAGGAUUAGAUACCCCAGUAGUCC